GUCUAUGGCCAUGCUGCCCUAAACAAGCCCAAUCCCAUCUGAUCUCAGAAGCUAAGAAGGGUCGGGCCUGAUUAGUACUUGGAUGGGAGACCACCUAGGAAGACUAGGUGCUGGAGGUG
This 119-nucleotide ribosomal RNA is filed under the name Pteropus vampyrus (large flying fox). The record is from RNAcentral. Lineage: Eukaryota; Metazoa; Chordata; Mammalia; Chiroptera; Pteropodidae.